GUAUUUCAAGUUAAUGUGAUUAAUAUUUUAAAAUGAUAGGAAUCGAGAUUAUUCCUAUUAUUCAAACUGUUUCAUAACCUUUGUUCGGUUAUGGAAGUUUUAAAAGAAUGUUUGAAUUCUUAAAGUUGUUUGUUCAACUGUUAUAACUUGCUGGGCAAUUGAAUGCUCACACUUGCUUUAAAUAAAAAUAUUUUCAGCGUACGAUGUUAGAAGAAC
RNAcentral lists this long non-coding RNA (216 nucleotides) under Panax ginseng (ginseng). Its description in RNAcentral is "long non-coding RNA (PGIN_LNC012810)". Lineage: Eukaryota; Viridiplantae; Streptophyta; Magnoliopsida; Apiales; Araliaceae. The record is from RNAcentral.